GCCUGGGUGGCUCAGUCGGUUAAGCGUCUGACUUCGGCUCAGGUCAUGAUCUCACGGUUUGUGAGUUCGAGUCCCGCGUCGGGCU
Molecule: transfer RNA, 85 nt
Filed under: Felis catus (domestic cat)
Lineage: Eukaryota; Metazoa; Chordata; Mammalia; Carnivora; Felidae
Rfam family: tRNA
About the family: Transfer RNA (tRNA) molecules are approximately 80 nucleotides in length. Their secondary structure includes four short double-helical elements and three loops (D, anti-codon, and T loops).
Source: Rfam by way of RNAcentral